RNAcentral lists this ribosomal RNA (540 nucleotides) under Streptomyces sp. RNAcentral describes it as "bacterial SSU rRNA". It matches the Rfam family "Bacterial small subunit ribosomal RNA", at positions 100 to 654 of the family's 1533-position model. The record is from RNAcentral. Lineage: Bacteria; Bacillati; Actinomycetota; Actinomycetes; Kitasatosporales; Streptomycetaceae.
GAACGGGUGAGUAACACGUGGGCAAUCUGCCCUGCACUCUGGGAUAACUCCGGGAAACCGGAGCUAAUACCGGAUACGACCUUCCAGGGCAUCCUGGGGGGUGGAAAGCUCCGGCGGUGCAGGAUGAGCCCGCGGCCUAUCAGCUGGUUGGUGGGGUGACGGCCCACCAAGGCGACGACGGGUAGCCGGCCUGAGAGGGCGACCGGCCACACUGGGACUGAGACACGGCCCAGACUCCUACGGGAGGCAGCAGUGGGGAAUAUUGCACAAUGGGCGCAAGCCUGAUGCAGCGACGCCGCGUGAGGGAUGACGGCCUUCGGGUUGUAAACCUCUUUCAGCAGGGAAGAAGCGCAAGUGACGGUACCUGCAGAAGAAGCACCGGCUAACUACGUGCCAGCAGCCGCGGUAAUACGUAGGGUGCGAGCGUUGUCCGGAAUUAUUGGGCGUAAAGAGCUCGUAGGCGGCCUGUCGCGUCGGAUGUGAAAGCCCGGGGCUUAACCCCGGGUCUGCAUUCGAUACGGGCAGGCUAGAGUUCGGUAG